CAGUCGAGGGGCAGCAUCAUCAAAGCUUGCUUUGAUGGAUGGCGACCGGCGCACGGGUGAGUAACACGUAUCCAACCUGCCGACAACACUGGGAUAGCCUUUCGAAAGAAAGAUUAAUACCGGAUGGCAUAGUUUUCCCGCAUGGGAUAAUUAUUAAAGAAUUUCGGUUGUCGAUGGGGAUGCGUUCCAUUAGGCAGUUGGCGGGGUAACGGCCCACCAAACCAACGAUGGAUAGGAGUUCUGAGAGGAAGGUCCCCCACAUUGGAACUGAGACACGGUCCAAACUCCUACGGGAGGCAGCAGUGAGGAAUAUUGGUCAAUGGACGAGAGUCUGAACCAGCCAAGUAGCGUGAAGGAUGACUGCCCUAUGGGUUGUAAACUUCUUUUAUACGGGAAUAGAGUUAGCCACGUGUGGCUUUUUGUAUGUACCGUAUGAAUAAGGAUCGGCUAACUCCGUGCCAGCAGCCGCGGUAAUACGGAGGAUCCGAGCGUUAUCCGGAUUUAUUGGGUUUAAAGGGAGCGUAGGCGGGUUGUUAAGUCAGUUGUGAAAGUUUGCGGCUCAACCGUAAAAUUGCAGUUGAUACUGGCGACCUUGAGUGCAACAGAGGUAGGCGGAAUUCGUGGUGUAGCGGUGAAAUGCUUAGAUAUCACGAAGAACUCCGAUUGCGAAGGCAGCUUACUGGAUUGUAACUGACGCUGAUGCUCGAAAGUGUGGGUAUCAAACAGGAUUAGAUACCCUGGUAGUCCACACAGUAAACGAUGAAUACUCGCUGUUGGCGAUAUACAGUCAGCGGCCAAGCGAAAGCAUUA
This 810-nucleotide ribosomal RNA is filed under the name uncultured bacterium. Its description in RNAcentral is "bacterial SSU rRNA". It matches the Rfam family "Bacterial small subunit ribosomal RNA", at positions 59 to 862 of the family's 1533-position model. The record is from RNAcentral.